This 591-nucleotide ribosomal RNA is filed under the name Pteropus vampyrus (large flying fox). RNAcentral describes it as "partial 12S ribosomal RNA". It matches the Rfam family "Bacterial small subunit ribosomal RNA", at positions 490 to 1364 of the family's 1533-position model. Lineage: Eukaryota; Metazoa; Chordata; Mammalia; Chiroptera; Pteropodidae. The record is from RNAcentral.
GGGUUGGUAAAUCUCGUGCCAGCCCCCGCGGUCAUACGAUUAACCCAAGUUAAUAGACAUACGGCGUAAAACGUGUUAAGGAAACUACCCCCCCCAUAAAGUUAAAUCUUGGGGUAUGCUGUAGAAAGCUUUAGCCCCGACAAAAAUAAACCACGAAGGUGACUUUAAACGAUCCGACUACACGAUAGCUAAGACACAAACUGGGAUUAGAUACCCCCCUAUGCUUAGCCCUAAACCUAAGCAGCUAAAUAACGAUGCUACUCGCCAGAGUACUACUAGCAACAGCUUAAAACUCAAAGGACUUGGCGGUGCUUUAUAUCCCUCUAGAGGAGCCUGUUCUGUAAUCGAUAAACCCCGAUAAACCUCCCCAACUCUUGCUAAUACAGCCUAUAUACCGCCCUUUUCAGCAAACCCUAAAAAGGAAAUAAAGUAAGCAAAAUCAUAAAACAUAAAAACGUUAGGUCAAGGUGUAGCCUAUGAGUUGGAAAGAAAUGGGGUACCUUUUCUUGUAUAGAACAUCGACGGUAAUUUUCGUUGAACCGAAAAUAGAAGGAGGAUUUAGUAGUAAAUUAAGAACAGAGAGCUUAGUUG